This is a long non-coding RNA of Homo sapiens (human), 518 nucleotides long. Lineage: Eukaryota; Metazoa; Chordata; Mammalia; Primates; Hominidae. The record is from Ensembl.
CAGACACUGAUUUGGAUACUCGAGGUCCUCUGACUGAGUUUCCUAAACAAGAAAUGAUACUUCACAUGCCUGAAAAUGAAUAAUCUAGAAUAUUUCAUUAACAUUCAGCUGACCAGUUUUAAAUAAGAGCAGUUGGGAUUGCAUUCAAUUAAACUGGAGUCUAUAAGGAACAACAGUUAAAAAUGGGAACAGAGGUAUCCCAAGAGAACUCUUACUGCUAUAGUAUUUGUGAGGUCAUGACAGUAUUAUCAACAUCUCGGGACCUAUUAAUAGUUUUGUCAAGAAGAAAAGAAAAUGAAUAGCCUAGUUCAGUAAUUCCCCUCAUUUGGAAAGGAAUCAAGAACCCCUUUGUGAUUCUGUUGACAGCUAUGGUCCCUCUCCCAAGAAAAUGUCUACUUUGCAUUCAAUUUCAAUAAAUUUCCAGAAGCCUUGAUGUGCAUCCACAGGUUCUAUGUGAGAAAACCCUCUUCUUGGAUGAUUUCUAAGUCUACAGUGUUGUAUACUUCACAGGAAUAAAA